UUGCUUUUGAAGAUCAGCGGCGGACGGGUGAGUAACACGUGGGCAACCUGCCUGUAAGACUGGGAUAACUUCGGGAAACCGGAGCUAAUACCGGAUAAUCCUUUCCCUCACAUGAGGGAAAGCUGAAAGACGGUUUCGGCUGUCACUUACAGAUGGGCCCGCGGCGCAUUAGCUAGUUGGUGAGGUAACGGCUCACCAAGGCAACGAUGCGUAGCCGACCUGAGAGGGUGAUCGGCCACACUGGGACUGAGACACGGCCCAGACUCCUACGGGAGGCAGCAGUAGGGAAUCUUCCGCAAUGGACGAAAGUCUGACGGAGCAACGCCGCGUGAACGAUGAAGGCUUUCGGGUCGUAAAGUUCUGUUGUCAGGGAAGAACAAGUACCGGAGUAACUGCCGGUACCUUGACGGUACCUGACCAGAAAGCCACGGCUAACUACGUGCCAGCAGCCGCGGUAAUACGUAGGUGGCAAGCGUUGUCCGGAAUUAUUGGGCGUAAAGCGCGCGCAGGCGGUUCCUUAAGUCUGAUGUGAAAGCCCCCGGCUCAACCGGGGAGGGUCAUUGGAAACUGGGGAACUUGAGUGCAGAAGAGGAGAGCGGAAUUCCACGUGUAGCGGUGAAAUGCGUAGAGAUGUGGAGGAACACCAGUGGCGAAGGCGGCUCUCUGGUCUGUAACUGACGCUGAGGCGCGAAAGCGUGGGGAGCGAACAGGAUUAGAUACCCUGGUAGUCCACGCCGUAAACGAUGAGUGCUAAGUGUUAGAGGGUUUCCGCCCUUUAGUGCUGCAGCAAACGCAUUAAGCACUCCGCCUGGGGGAGUACGGCCGCAAGGCUGAAACUCAAAGGAAUUGACGGGGGCCCGCACAAGCGGUGG
RNAcentral lists this ribosomal RNA (872 nucleotides) under Bacillus sp. (in: firmicutes). RNAcentral's name for it is "bacterial SSU rRNA". It matches the Rfam family "Bacterial small subunit ribosomal RNA", at positions 79 to 935 of the family's 1533-position model. Lineage: Bacteria; Bacillati; Bacillota; Bacilli; Caryophanales; Bacillaceae. The record is from RNAcentral.